Molecule: ribosomal RNA, 653 nt
Filed under: uncultured bacterium
Lineage: Bacteria
Description: bacterial SSU rRNA
Rfam family: Bacterial small subunit ribosomal RNA
Source: RNAcentral
GAAAGAUGGUUUUGCUAUCGCUUAUAGAUGGACCCGCGCCGUAUUAGCUAGUUGGUAAGGUAACGGCUUACCAAGGCGACGAUACGUAGCCGACCUGAGAGGGUGAUCGGCCACACUGGAACUGAGACACGGUCCAGACUCCUACGGGAGGCAGCAGUAGGGAAUCUUCCGCAAUGGGCGAAAGCCUGACGGAGCAACGCCGCGUGAGUGAUGAAGGGUUUCGGCUCGUAAAACUCUGUUAUUAGGGAAGAACAAAUGUGUAAGUAACUGUGCACAUCUUGACGGUACCUAAUCAGAAAGCCACGGCUAACUACGUGCCAGCAGCCGCGGUAAUACGUAGGUGGCAAGCGUUAUCCGGAAUUAUUGGGCGUAAAGCGCGCGUAGGCGGUUUCUUAAGUCUGAUGUGAAAGCCCACGGCUCAACCGUGGAGGGUCAUUGGAAACUGGGAAACUUGAGUGCAGAAGAGGAAAGUGGAAUUCCAUGUGUAGCGGUGAAAUGCGCAGAGAUAUGGAGGAACACCAGUGGCGAAGGCGACUUUCUGGUCUGUAACUGACGCUGAUGUGCGAAAGCGUGGGGAUCAAACAGGAUUAGAUACCCUGGUAGUCCACGCCGUAAACGAUGAGUGCUAAGUGUUAGGGGGUUUCCGCCCCUUA